CUGACGACCGGCGCACGGGUGCGUAACGCGUAUAGAACCUACCUUUUACAGAGGGAUAGCCCAGAGAAAUUUGGAUUAAUACCUCAUAGUAUUUUAGAUUGGCAUCGAUUUAGAAUUAAACAUUUAUGGGUAAAAGAUGGCUAUGCGUUCUAUUAGCUAGUAGGUAAGGUAACGGCUUACCUAGGCGACGAUAGAUAGGGGUCCUGAGAGGGAGAUCCCCCACACUGGUACUGAGACACGGACCAG
This 246-nucleotide ribosomal RNA is filed under the name uncultured bacterium. Its description in RNAcentral is "partial 16S ribosomal RNA". It matches the Rfam family "Bacterial small subunit ribosomal RNA", at positions 88 to 334 of the family's 1533-position model. The record is from RNAcentral.